AUGGAGAAUGCAUUGCUGAAGCUUUGGUCAAUGGUUGAAGAGAGCAAGUCUGCUAGGGUGGAUGAUAAUCUUCAAAGUUCUUUAACUAUUCACCAUUUGACAGAAAAAAAUAAAAAGCUGGAUGCACAAUAUGACAAGUUAGUAAAAGAUGUGCAUCAACUUGUGGACUUUCAGCAGGAUAGGGUUGUGGAUUUCAGUUAUUUGCAGUCAGCUGUCACAUAUCAGCACCAAUGCAGAGCUGAAUUGGUGGCUGGUAUGAAUGCAAAAAUGGCAAAGAAAGAUGCAGCUCUAGAGAAGCUUCAACAGAAGUUUGAAAUCCUGUGCAACCUGACAAGUGCUCAAGCAACUGCCAUCCAAAACCUCAAGUUGAAGAAUAUGAAAGAGAAGCAAUUGAGGAUUGAGGCUCAAGAGAAUUUGGAGCUGAAGAAUGCAGAGUUCACAAAGUUUGAGGAGAAGCUCACCCAAGAGAAGCUAGAGUUGAAGUUCCAGGUUGCUGAUCUGCUAAAGCUUAAGGAAAACCAUAAAGAAGAGAAGCAGAUGCAAGAGUUUAAGAUUACUGAGCUCAUGAAGGCAGAGAAGAAGCUGAAGGAGAAGAUCAAGGGGAUCCAGGCCAUCUUGGAGAACUGA
RNAcentral lists this ribosomal RNA (627 nucleotides) under Triticum aestivum (bread wheat). RNAcentral describes it as "partial small subunit ribosomal RNA". Lineage: Eukaryota; Viridiplantae; Streptophyta; Magnoliopsida; Poales; Poaceae. The record is from RNAcentral.